UUCUGGCUCAGGAUGAACGCUAGCUACAGGCUUAACACAUGCAAGUCGAGGGGCAGCAUGAUUCUAGCUUGCUAGAAUGAUGGCGACCGGCGCACGGGUGAGUAACGCGUAUCCAACCUUCCCUAUAGUAGAGGAUAGCCCGGCGAAAGUCGGAUUAAUACUCUAUGUUGUUCAAUGCGGACAUCUAAGUUGAACCAAAGGUUUACCCGCUAUAGGAUGGGGAUGCGUCUGAUUAGAUGGUAGGCGGGGUAACGGCCCACCUAGUCGACGAUCAGUAGGGGUUCUGAGAGGAAGGUCCCCCACAUUGGAACUGAGACACGGUCCAAACUCCUACGGGAGGCAGCAGUGAGGAAUAUUGGUCAAUGGGCGAGAGCCUGAACCAGCCAAAAGUAGCGUGCAGGAUGACGGCCCUAUGGGUUGUAAACUGCUUUUAUACGGGGAUAAAGUGAGGGACGUGUCCCUUUUUGUAGGUACCGUAUGAAUAAGGACCGGCUAAUUCCGUGCCAGCAGCGGC
RNAcentral lists this ribosomal RNA (514 nucleotides) under uncultured bacterium. RNAcentral describes it as "bacterial SSU rRNA". It matches the Rfam family "Bacterial small subunit ribosomal RNA", at positions 17 to 518 of the family's 1533-position model. The record is from RNAcentral.